Molecule: ribosomal RNA, 293 nt
Filed under: uncultured Acidobacteriota bacterium
Lineage: Bacteria; Pseudomonadati; Acidobacteriota
Description: uncultured Acidobacteria bacterium partial 16S ribosomal RNA
Source: RNAcentral
GGACUACUAGGGUUUCUAAUCCUGUUUGCUACCCACGCUUUCGCGCCUCAGCGUCAGUAGUGGUCCAGCGCGCCGCUUUCGCCACGGGUGUUCCUCCUGAUAUCUACGCAUUUCACCGCUACACCUGGAAUUCCACUUUCCUCUCCCGCACUCCAAGUCUCUCAGUAUUCGGCGCACCCUCCCGGUUGAGCCGGGAGAUUUCACACCAAACUUAAAAGACCGCCUACACACCCUUUACGCCCAGUAACUCCGAACAACGCUUGCUGCCUACGUAUUACCGCGGCUGCUGGCAC